UACGAAGGGGGCUAGCGUUGCUCGGAAUCACUGGGCGUAAAGGGCGCGUAGGCGGCCCGGAUAGUCAGGCGUGAAAUUCCUGGGCUCAACCCGGGGGCUGCGCUUGAUACGUCCGGGCUGGAGUGCAGGAGAGGGUCGCGGAAUUCCCAGUGUAGAGGUGAAAUUCGUAGAUAUUGGGAAGAACACCGGUGGCGAAGGCGGCGACCUGGUCCUUGACUGACGAUGAGGCGCGAAAGCGUGGGGAGCAAACAGG
Molecule: ribosomal RNA, 253 nt
Filed under: uncultured bacterium
Lineage: Bacteria
Description: partial 16S ribosomal RNA
Rfam family: Bacterial small subunit ribosomal RNA
Source: RNAcentral